AUGGGCGGAAGCUGAUGCAGCAACGCCGCGUGCGGGAUGACGGCCUUCGGGUUGUAAACCGCUUUCACCCAUGACGAAGCGCGAGUGACGGUAGUGGGGGAAGAAGCACCGGCCAACUACGUGCCAGCAGCCGCGGUGAUACGUAGGGUGCGAGCGUUGUCCGGAAUUAUUGGGCGUAAAGAGCUUGUAGGCGGUUGAUCGCGUCGAUAGUGAAAUCCCGGGGCUCAACCUCGGGCUUGCUGUCGAUACGGGUUGACUUGAGGAAGGUAGGGGAGAAUGGAACUCCCGGUGGAGCGGUGGAAUGCGCAGAUAUCGGGAAGAACACCGGUGGCGAAGGCGGUUCUCUGGACCUUUCCUGACGCUGAGAAGCGAAAGCGUGGGGAGCAAACAGGCUUAGAUACCCUGGUAGUCCACGCUGUAAACGGUGGGUACUAGGUGUGGGUCGCAUUCCACGUGAUCCGUGCCGUAGCCAACGCAUUAAGUACCCCGACCUGGGGAGUACGGCCGCAACGCUAAAACUCAAAGGAAUUGACGGGGCCCCGCACAAGCGGCGGAGCAUGCGGAUUAAUUCGAUGCAACGCGAAGAACCUUACCUGGGAUUUGACAUGUACUGGAAGCGCUCAGAGAUGGG
Molecule: ribosomal RNA, 631 nt
Filed under: Propionibacterium acidifaciens
Lineage: Bacteria; Bacillati; Actinomycetota; Actinomycetes; Propionibacteriales; Propionibacteriaceae
Description: bacterial SSU rRNA
Rfam family: Bacterial small subunit ribosomal RNA
Source: RNAcentral